GCCAAAACCCAUCAAGCGUCGCGCUGCAAGUUUGAGGACGCGACAGUUUCAUUAAUUCGGGAUUACGGAGACUUUCCGUCUAAUUUAUAUGGAUUAAGAUUGGUCUACUUAUUGCUUCUUACCUGCGCAUUGACAUUGGAGAUGUGUAGCUAGAGAAAUUUGUGAGAGGUCUGAACAUCUGUAUUCAAAUGGACAUGGAAGUGUCUACAGAACAGUGAAUCUGUCUGUUUUUGGGACGGGCCAGGCUGAAAGGAGUUUUUUUUAAUCAGAUCAUUUACUAAGAGAAACUAGAGACGUCCAGGGACCUGCGUUUGCCAGAGACACACCGGAGGAUUACGUUGCAGAUGACCAGUCAGGAUCCAGUCUGGCAUGAAGGAAGGAUUCAGAGUGCUGCUGAGCCAUGGAGACACAUGGAACCUGAUACCAAGACGUCUACAUCAGCGACAAUUCUAAAAUAACAAACAUGUCAGAAGUAUUUCUGUCACAUUCUCCUCUGCUCUCUCUGCCUCUGUUGAUUGUUUCUGACUCGCUGAAUUCACUGUGCAGCUGCUGGAACCAUCAGAGCCCACACGGCCAGGCCGAGUUCAUUAGCCUGCUUAAGGAGCCUGUCUCUGGGGCUCAGUGACCACAGUCCUCCCCUGCCUCCCUUCUCUACACUUAUCAAGAGUACG
This is a long non-coding RNA of Puntigrus tetrazona (Sumatra barb), 671 nucleotides long. RefSeq lists it as uncharacterized. The transcript has 6 exons. The record is from RefSeq and is a predicted model, not a curated record. NCBI's taxonomy places the organism in Eukaryota, Metazoa, Chordata, Actinopteri, Cypriniformes, Cyprinidae.